UCACAACAGCACAGGAUUUUACAGAAGGAGAAAAAAAAAAUACAUCUUAGUGAUACAGCUAAGGUGUUAACCUGAUUUGCUUCUAUGUACAAUUUUUCAUAUUCAUGGUCUGCCAACUCUGCAAAGAAGGGAAGGUAGAGCCUUGCACCAUCUUUGGCUCAAGCUUGGUUCAGUAUGACUGCAUUCUUCGGAGCUGAGAUGUAACCGAUUAUGGAUCACUUUGCCACUUGUACAAAAUUUGGCCAGCACUGCACCAUCCAUAUGUAGAACCAUUUGUUGCAAAAUGGAGAAAUUCUGAAUAUUGGAGAGAUUCAUCUUCAAAGUCCACUGGAUUCUAAAAAUCUCAAAGCAAAUGGGAAAGUGUCCCACUGGUUUAGAAAUGGAAUUGGAAGCCUGCAGGAGAAAGCAAGGAUUUUUAUUGUAGGGAUACCUGUCACAUGAAAAGCCCAUAUGGCCUGGAGUGUCACACUUCAUUUACCUCAACAAUGCAAACAAGAGCUUGAGAAGAAUCUCACCAUUUGACAGCCCAAAUGGCUCUUUAGCAACAACUUCUAGUUCUCUGGCCAGGCCACAUUAAAUGACAGUUUUAUUGAAAGAAAAAGAAACCAAAAAAUAACAUGGAGUAUUGUCAUGAGAUUGAGACAUGUUGGGGGUUGAGGGUCAGAGGUGAAUUUUAACUGUUCUCAUGUUCAACAAAGAGGCCAAAAUCCUAUGCUAUUCUCUUGUGGGGAUAAUGGAAAUGAGUUAAUAUGAUAUUGAGGAAAACUUCAUUUUUUUUUUCUUUAGGAAUAUCAAGGUGGAGGAGGAUUAAUGACCCACAAAUAGAAGAGAUAAAGAUCAGUGUUUCUUUUGCAUAGAAAGAAUAUUUGGUGCUAUUGGAGCACCCCCUGGAAAAGUUGCUAAUGGGACCUGAGGGCAGGGGGUGAAUAAUUCCUCCUCUGCUUGGUAUUGAGCUCUUCUCCCCAUGUUGGAUUUUCUAUAAAAUGAUUCACUAAGAGUGUGGGUUAUAUUAUUCAAUUGUAUGUUAGCAGCAGAACAAGAGUUUUGGGGGAACAAUGGAAGGAUAGGGUAGAAAGGAUUGGAAAAUUGGAGGAUAAAGCUAUUAUAAACCAUAAUGAGGGACUCCAAAGCCAUGGUCAAGGAAAAGAGUUUUCUUUUUGGUAUUUUUUUGUUUUAUAAUCACUGGGACUCUUGAGUAGUCAUUGGGCAAGAUGUUGCCAUGUGCUUCACAUUGGCAAAGACGAAUCUAAUUCAUUCAAUUACUGACCAAGAGGUAGAACAGCAGAAAUGAUGGUUCUCUGGCUUGUUUAUGGAUGCAGGACUUAAUGAAGUCAAGAAGCAUUUAUUCAGUUCUUAAUAUCUGCCAGGCACUGUGUUCAGUGCUAGGUAUAGGAUACUUCAGCAGAGGGAAGACACCAGAAUUCAGGUGAUUGAGAAAGGUUCUAGUAGAAGAAGUGACUUUAGUUGAGACUUGAAGAAAG
Molecule: long non-coding RNA, 1481 nt
Organism: Sarcophilus harrisii (Tasmanian devil)
Lineage: Eukaryota; Metazoa; Chordata; Mammalia; Dasyuromorphia; Dasyuridae
Exons: 4
Source: RefSeq, a predicted model, not a curated record